RNAcentral lists this ribosomal RNA (226 nucleotides) under uncultured bacterium. Its description in RNAcentral is "partial 16S ribosomal RNA". It matches the Rfam family "Bacterial small subunit ribosomal RNA", at positions 107 to 334 of the family's 1533-position model. The record is from RNAcentral.
UGCGUAACACGUAUGGAACUUGCCCUGUACUGGGAGAUAGCCCGGAGAAAUCCGGAUUAAUAUCCCAUAAUAAGUUGGGUGGCAUCACCCGACUUUGAAAGCUCCGGCGGUACAGGAUGGCCAUGCGCACGAUUAGCUAGUUGGUGAGGUAACGGCUCACCAAGGCUACGAUCGUUAGGGGGCCUGAGAGGGUUAUCCCCCACACUGGUACUGAGACACGGACCAG